This 491-nucleotide ribosomal RNA is filed under the name Rubyspira goffrediae. RNAcentral describes it as "partial 16S ribosomal RNA". It matches the Rfam family "Bacterial large subunit ribosomal RNA", at positions 1799 to 2562 of the family's 2925-position model. Lineage: Eukaryota; Metazoa; Mollusca; Gastropoda. The record is from RNAcentral.
CCUGUUUAUCAAAAACAUGGCUCCUUGUUAAUUUAACAUAAGGAGUCGGACCUGCCCAGUGAUAGUUUUCAACGGCCGCAGUACUCUGACUGUGCAAAGGUAGCAUAAUCAUUUGCCCUAUAAUUGAGGGCUAGUAUGAAUGGUUUGACAAGAGUGGCACUGUCUCUAUAAGAUUUUUUAGAACUUAAUCUUUAGGUGAAGAAUCCUAAUUUACAUUAAAAGACAAGAAGACCCUAUCGAGCUUUAAAAAAGUAAGUAAAUUAAGUUCAUACACGAAAUAUGUAUUAUUACUUAAAAUUUUGGUUGGGGCGACUAAGGAACAUACAAAGCUUCUUUUUUUAAGAAAAGCUUAUUUGCUUUGAUCCAGUAAAAUACUGAUUAAAAGAAUUAGUUACCGUAGGGAUAACAGCAUAAUCUUCUUCAAGAGCUCAUAUCGAAAAGAAGGUUUGUGACCUCGAUGUUGGACUAGAAUAUCCUGAAGAUGCAGAAGU